UUUUUGAUACCUGGCCAUUGAGAUAUGAAUUUUGGAACUUAGGUGUGACAAUUUGUGUCACACCUCUUGAUGUCAAUUUGCUGGAUUUAUUUGAGUGACCUAUACUUGGUGAAAUAAUAUGAAAUUUUGCAUGAUGGUUGAUUGGUAUGUUAAGAUGCUUUGUGAAUUUUUGUGGAAUUUUACAUUGCAUUUUCAAAUUGAUUGUGAUUUUUCAUUUCUGUUGGUCAAAUAUGCAAGUCCAUGUGGUACAUGUUUGUAAUUUUG
RNAcentral lists this long non-coding RNA (264 nucleotides) under Lathyrus oleraceus (garden pea). RNAcentral's name for it is "Pisum sativum (pea) long non-coding RNA (PSAT_LNC025906)". Lineage: Eukaryota; Viridiplantae; Streptophyta; Magnoliopsida; Fabales; Fabaceae. The record is from RNAcentral.